This is a long non-coding RNA of Girardinichthys multiradiatus, 1550 nucleotides long. RefSeq lists it as uncharacterized. NCBI's taxonomy places the organism in Eukaryota, Metazoa, Chordata, Actinopteri, Cyprinodontiformes, Goodeidae. The record is from RefSeq and is a predicted model, not a curated record. The transcript has 2 exons.
AGCUGAGUAUUAAUCAGGCCUCUUUCUUUUGUGUGUUCUAACUUAUGUGCUCUAGCUUACCUCUUGUGUCCUUCUUUCAGGAAGAAACCUGUUUUCUAGUCCCCAGUCCUCCUUCUGGUCUUCAGUCCUUUGCCUCUUCACUUGCCAAAGUUCCCUGGUGAACUCACCUCAGGAUCCCCUCCAAGAAUCUCCUCACAGCUUCUCCAGUCGCUCAUCCGUGAAACCGCUGUUUGGACCUUCCUGCACCCCAACUGCAGAACUCACCUGCCUAUCCACCCCCCAAUGCUCAACUGCUCCACGGUCAUCUUCACCUUCCCUGGAACAAGGAAACAAACAUCAUCAAACAAACCACACACUGCAACCUUUCCCGGGCCCCUGUGGUUAUUCCCACCAUGGAUCUCUCCCUGGAUUCAAUUCAACUCUGAUCAGUGUUCAUGGUGAGGAGUUUGUUUCUAUUGCUGUUGGCUAUUGGUGGGGAGGUUGCCAGUCCAUCACAGGACAGCACACUCAUGGAUAACAGCAAUUUAGAAAGAUCAAUUAACAUAACAUGAAUGUUCUUAAACUGUAAGAGGAAGCCAUUUGAGUAGAGAAACUAGACAUGCAUGGGGAGAACAUGCAAACUCCAUCCAUAAGACUCGAGGUUUGUAUUUAAACCCAGGGCCUUCUUCCUGCAAGGCAAUAGUGCUAACCACUGUGCUACCUUGCAGCAAUAAUUGCAACAAUGUCAUGUCAUUGUGUUGGAGUAUGGGCCCAGUAUCCUGCUGACAGAGGCUAUUGCCACCAGGAUGUGGUGACAAGACAUCAUGUCAGUUCACCAUCAGGUGAGCCUGUUCAGGAGCAAGUUGUCCCAUGUUGGUGGAAUUCAGAGAGAAAGUCGCUGCAGCUUGUGUAAAAGCUAACAUCCGAUAGAGAAAAAGUAUUUUCUUCAGCCCUGUAAUACAGUGGAAUUUUUCCCAAAACUGUGAAGAAGUUCUUUCAAGUUGCCAUACAUUCAAAUACCUUUUUCUGUCAGUAUGGCUCAUAUGACACCUGGGUUACAGAAAGUGUCCACACUGACCUUCUGAAAUAUCCAUGCAGGUAAAACAGACUUGUGAGCUGCUCAUUCAAAAAAUAAUGACCAAUUUUGCAGGAGACACAUUGGUUGUUCACAAUUUCAGAAUAUUCAUGUUGUUCAUCUGUGCCACCCUCAUCUCUCCUGUUUGCAUAUUCAUUCUCAGCGUAUUCUUCUAGCCUGUGCCACUGUUGUGUUUUUGAGUUUGUGCUUUUGUCUAUUUUACCCGGUCUGGUCCUUGUUUCCUUCUGUUUUCAGCAGCCUAGUUCGCACCUGUUUCUUGUUUCUCCAAGUUACCUGGUCUUGCUUUCAUUGGUUCUCCCUGCAUUUCCUGUUUGUAUUUAAGUUCCUUAGUUGCCUUUGUUCCCUGCUGUGUCUUGGGUCAUACUUAUCUCAAUGCCCUUGUCGUACCUGGCUGUGUAUCCUAUGUUCUGUCCCGUUUCUGGUUUCCCUGCCUGGUCCGUGAUUGAGAACAAUAAAUAUCGGCCUUUUCAUUAUU